UACGUAGGUGGCAAGCGUUGUCCGGAUUUACUGGGCGUAAAGAGCGCGCAGGCGGUCGUUCAAGUCGCGUGUGAAAGCCCCCGGCUCAACUGGGGAGGGUCACGCGAUACUGAUCGACUCGAAGGCAGGAGAGGGUAGUGGAAUUCCCGGUGUAGUGGUGAAAUGCGUAGAUAUCGGGAGGAACACCAGUGGCGAAGGCGGGUUGCUGGGCUGACACUGGCGCUGAGGCGCGAAAGCUAGGGGAGCGAACGGG
RNAcentral lists this ribosomal RNA (253 nucleotides) under uncultured bacterium. Its description in RNAcentral is "partial 16S ribosomal RNA". It matches the Rfam family "Bacterial small subunit ribosomal RNA", at positions 524 to 776 of the family's 1533-position model. The record is from RNAcentral.